AACCUUCAUUUACAUCAUCGCAAAUGAGAUAACUGACCAAACUACAGCUGAUCAGAGAGAUAACUGACCAAACUACAGCUGAUCAUAGAGAUAACUGACCAAACUACAGCUGAUCAGAGAGAUAACUGACCAAACUACAGCUGAUCAGAGAGAUAACUAACCAAACUACAGGUGAUCAGAAAGAUAACUGACCAAACUACAGCCGCUCAGUGAGAUAACUGACCAAACUACAGCUGAUCAGAGAGAUAACUGACCAAACUACAGCUAAUCAGAGAGAUAACUGACCAAACUACAGCUGAUCAUAGAGAUAACUGACCAAACUACAGGUGAUCAG
Molecule: long non-coding RNA, 334 nt
Organism: Solea senegalensis (Senegalese sole)
Lineage: Eukaryota; Metazoa; Chordata; Actinopteri; Pleuronectiformes; Soleidae
Exons: 3
Source: RefSeq, a predicted model, not a curated record